UACGAAGGGGGCUAGCGUUGUUCGGAAUCACUGGGCGUAAAGCGCACGUAGGCGGAUCUUUAAGUCAGGGGUGAAAUCCCGAGGCUCAACCUCGGAACUGCCUUUGAUACUGGGGAUCUCGAGUCCGGGAGAGGUGAGUGGAACUGCGAGUGUAGAGGUGAAAUUCGUAGAUAUUCGCAAGAACACCAGUGGCGAAGGCGGCUCACUGGCCCGGAGCUGACGCUGAGGUGCGAAAGCGUGGGGAGCAAACAGG
This 253-nucleotide ribosomal RNA is filed under the name uncultured bacterium. Its description in RNAcentral is "partial 16S ribosomal RNA". It matches the Rfam family "Bacterial small subunit ribosomal RNA", at positions 524 to 776 of the family's 1533-position model. The record is from RNAcentral.